CAGAGACUGUGGGGUAUUUCCCCUUCCCAACUCCCGUACUGGCCUGUGAUGAAAGUAACUCCAUAGGCUGUGACUCUUGCCGCUACACUGAGAAAGGGAGGUCACAUUGGGGCCUUACCGAUGGGAAGAGCACACGUGUGA
Long non-coding RNA from Dermochelys coriacea (leatherback sea turtle), 141 nucleotides. RefSeq lists it as uncharacterized. Lineage: Eukaryota; Metazoa; Chordata; Testudines; Dermochelyidae. The record is from RefSeq and is a predicted model, not a curated record. The transcript is spliced from 3 exons.